GACAUCCCAUCUCUUGAACCAACGGUUAUCUCCAACCACGUGCCCCAUAUUAUAUCUACCAUCACCCCUCGUAGAGUGACUAGCCAACAAAACAAAAAUACCUUAACCUAUCCAAAGAGAAGCACUAGACUUCGAGCAAAAAAGGCUAAGGCUCUUGGAUUGGAAGAUCUUGAGCUGUAUAUGGAGGAUAUUCUCUUCCCUAUUUCACUCACUACUAAGGACAUGCA
This 227-nucleotide long non-coding RNA is filed under the name Elaeis guineensis (African oil palm). RNAcentral's name for it is "long non-coding RNA (EGUI_LNC033105)". The record is from RNAcentral. Lineage: Eukaryota; Viridiplantae; Streptophyta; Magnoliopsida; Arecales; Arecaceae.